RNAcentral lists this transfer RNA (63 nucleotides) under Lamprotula caveata. Its description in RNAcentral is "tRNA-Val". The record is from RNAcentral. Lineage: Eukaryota; Metazoa; Mollusca; Bivalvia; Unionida; Unionidae.
CCUUUACCUAAACCCAAGACCCCAGCAUCCCCACCUUACUGUAAAAGUUUAAAUUGUUUAAAA